Molecule: ribosomal RNA, 403 nt
Filed under: uncultured bacterium
Lineage: Bacteria
Description: partial 16S ribosomal RNA
Rfam family: Bacterial small subunit ribosomal RNA
Source: RNAcentral
GACGAACGCUGGCGGCGUGCCUAAUACAUGCAAGUCGAACGCAGUGGGGACGGGUGAGCAACACGUGGGUAACCUCACAUCCGAGGGGAUAACACUUUGAAACAGGUGCUAAACCGAUAUUGAUGGCUGGACCCGCGGGGCAUGAGCUAGUUGGUGAGGGAACGGCUGACCAAGGCAACGAUGCAUAGCCGACCUGCGAGGGGGAUCGGCCACACUGGGACUGAGACACGGCCCAGACUCCUACGGGAGGCAGCAGUAGGGAAUCGUCGGCAAUGGACGAAAGUCUGACCGAGCCACGCCGCGUGAGUGAAGAAGGUUUUCGGAUCGUAAAGCUCUGUUGUUAGAGAAGCGUUAUCUAACCAGAAAGCCACGGCUAACUACGUGCCAGCAGCCGCGGUAAUAC